Molecule: non-coding RNA, 708 nt
Organism: Maylandia zebra (zebra mbuna)
Lineage: Eukaryota; Metazoa; Chordata; Actinopteri; Cichliformes; Cichlidae
Source: RefSeq, a predicted model, not a curated record
CACAUCAGAUUUGUGGGUUGUGCUGCUGCAUAAGGUUGGAGGUGUAAUUUUCCCUCCCCGCCGCUAGGAGGCGAGUAUGCCUUGAGAUGACUUUCUGUUAGUCAACAUUUCCUGUUGUGGAAGCCAUUACUCACGAGGCAACCGCUACUCACGAGGCAACCGCCAAAUUAGCUGAAAGAUCCUGGAUCUGAGAUCUGUGAAAUACGGCCGUGGGAAGCUGCGUCAGCUGGACGAGCUAUCUCACCACGAGCUCCGAUUGGUUUUUGACCAGGACUGGAUCAUUUGAGAUCUGAACCCUGUGGGUUCAGUGGCGAGCCAAUCCCGAGAGAGUGACUGUCGACGGACCCGAGUGCGGUGUGGCCAGCCGUGGGAUCCAUCUUCAGCGAACCUCAGGACUAUUACUACCUUCCUUGAUACAGAUAAGACUAACACUUUAAAAAUCUACCCGGGUAGUGUUAGAACCAAUGGACAGAAACACACACACACACACAAGGAACUCUAAUUUCUCUUUCUAAAGAGAAGUGGACUGAGCAACGGGAGCGGAAGCUCUUUAAUUGAAACUCUUUGGAGAAUUUCCUUAAAGAGGAUGUUGUUUUGAUUUUAUUUUUGGGCCCUUUAAUGUGCGUUUGUGCACUGUUGGAAGCCGGCUUUAGACAGGCAGGGUUUGUAAACUUUACAACUUUCAAUACAGUUUCUACUCAAAUCACA